AAAUGUGAAGUGAAUAAAUCACAUUCAGUUUCGACCUGAAAUAUGAUAUUAAUUAUCCUCAUUUA
This 65-nucleotide transfer RNA is filed under the name Paramastax nigra. RNAcentral's name for it is "tRNA-Arg". Lineage: Eukaryota; Metazoa; Arthropoda; Insecta; Orthoptera; Eumastacidae. The record is from RNAcentral.